Molecule: long non-coding RNA, 724 nt
Organism: Beta vulgaris subsp. vulgaris (sugar beet)
Lineage: Eukaryota; Viridiplantae; Streptophyta; Magnoliopsida; Caryophyllales; Amaranthaceae
Exons: 3
Source: RefSeq, a predicted model, not a curated record
CGUGAAUUCGUGAUAAUAACUUACUAAAUCUUAAAUGAGAUAUAUGACCAUCGUUAAAGGCAAAAUUAUUAAACGCGGGAUUUGUUAAAAAAACAAAAUUUUACUAAACAUUUAAAAUGAGGCUCAACCGCUCAACUUAUUCUAAAUUCAAUCUCUCUCCUAAAAUUGCUCAGUCUUAGUUUCAUACUUUCAUUAACACAAUUUCCAUUUCAUGGAUUUUGAAUCUCAAUCUUCCUCCCCAAGUUCACUCUCUCACGAUUGAAGAAAAUAUUUUCGGAUUAGUCACGAAGUAAAAUUAUCGAUGCUAUUAUCCUUUUUUAUUUGGGAUUCACGUUUCGAUAAGGAGGCGGACAAAUGAUGUAUUAUUGGCGAUCAAUGGUUUCAACGAUAAAUUUGCCUAAAUUGCAAUUGGUGUCUUUGACUAUCUGACUCACAUAUGUAGUUACCAGCCAGCCAUAAGAGGAAGAUGCAAUCAUCCAGCCGUAUGUGUCAACAACAGGAAAGAGGAUAGUAGAUUGCAGCGCCUAAUGAGUUAACUGAAGCUUUUAGAUGCAAGUUGUGUAUAGUACUUAUAUAUGUAUAUAUACCCCCUAUAUGAGGAGUAGGUAGUGGGACAAUAUACACACUGUAUAGUUCUUGCUUAGCUUGGAUAUAACAUGGUGUAAUUUAAAGUUUUGUAUUUGUAAGUUACAACUGAUUAUCAAUUUGAUGAUUUUUAUAUUAA